This 563-nucleotide ribosomal RNA is filed under the name uncultured bacterium. RNAcentral's name for it is "partial 16S ribosomal RNA". It matches the Rfam family "Bacterial small subunit ribosomal RNA", at positions 355 to 1375 of the family's 1533-position model. The record is from RNAcentral.
UGGGGAAUAUUGCACAAUGGGCGAAAGCCUGAUGCAGCAACGCCGCGUGAGUGAUGAAGGCCUUCGGGUUGUAAAGCUCUGUCUUUUGGGACGAUAAUGACGGUACCAAAGGAGGAAGCCACGGCUAACUACGUGCCAGCAGCCGCGGUAAUACGUAGGUGGCAAGCGUUGUCCGGAUUUUACUGGGCGUAAAGGAUGCGUAGGCGGAUUUUUAAGUGAGAUGUGAAAUACCCGGGCUUAACUUGGGUGCUGCAUUUCAAACUGGGAAUCUAGAGUGCGGGAGAGGAGAAUGGAAUUCCUAGUGUAGCGGUGAAAUGCGUAGAGAUUAGGAAGAACACCAGUGGCGAAGGCGAUUCUCUGGACCGUAACUGACGCUGAGGCAUGAAAGCGUGGGUAGCAAACAGGAUUAGAUACCCUGGUAGUCCACGCCGUAAACGAUGAGUACUAGGUGUAGGAGGUAUCGACCCCUUCUGUGCCGCAGUUAACACAAUAAGUACUCCGCCUGGGAAGUACGAUCGCAAGAUUGAAACUCAAGGAAUUGACGGGGUCAUAGCUGUUUUCCU